Molecule: ribosomal RNA, 463 nt
Filed under: uncultured bacterium
Lineage: Bacteria
Description: partial 16S ribosomal RNA
Rfam family: Bacterial small subunit ribosomal RNA
Source: RNAcentral
GACGAACGCUGGCGGCGUGCUUAACACAUGCCAGUCGAACGGAAAGGCCCUGCUUGCAGGGUACUCGAGUGGCGAACGGGUGAGUAACACGUGGGUGAUCUGCCCUGCACUUCGGGAUAAGCCUGGGAAACUGGGUCUAAUACCGGAUAGGAGCCAUUUUUAGUGUGAUGGUUGGAAAGUUUUUUCGGUGUAGGAUGAGCUCGCGGCCUAUCAGCUUGUUGGUGGGGUAAUGGCCUACCAAGGCGGCGACGGGUAGCCGGCCUGAGAGGGUGGACGGCCACAUUGGGACUGAGAUACGGCCCAGACUCCUACGGGAGGCAGCAGUGGGGAAUAUUGCACAAUGGGCGCAAGCCUGAUGCAGCGACGCCGCGUGGGGGAUGACGGCCUUCGGGUUGUAAACUCCUUUCGCUAGGGACGAAGCUUUUUGUGACGGUACCUAGAUAAGAAGCACCGGCUAACUACG